Molecule: non-coding RNA, 48 nt
Filed under: Trichobilharzia regenti
Lineage: Eukaryota; Metazoa; Platyhelminthes; Trematoda; Strigeidida; Schistosomatidae
Source: RNAcentral
AUCCAGUUGACGAGUCCCAAAUAGGACGAAACACGCGUUAUCCUGGAU